This 766-nucleotide ribosomal RNA is filed under the name uncultured marine bacterium. Its description in RNAcentral is "bacterial SSU rRNA". It matches the Rfam family "Bacterial small subunit ribosomal RNA", at positions 57 to 871 of the family's 1533-position model. The record is from RNAcentral.
GCAAGUCGAACGAAGUAGCAAUACUUAGUGGCAGACGGGUGAGUAACAUGUAGGUAUCUACCCUUUGGCCUGGAAUAACACGAGGAAACUUGUGCUAAUACCGGAUAAGUCUUUACGGAGAAAGCUUUAUGCACCAUUGGAUGAGCCUGCACUUGAUUAGUUUGUUGGUAGGGUAAUGGCCUACCAAGACUGUGAUCAAUAGCUGAUUUGAGAGGAUGAUCAGCCACAUUGGGACUGAGACACGGCCCAAACUCCUACGGGAGGCAGCAGUGGGGAAUCUUGCACAAUGGAGGAAACUCUGAUGCAGCGAUGCCGCGUGAGUGAAGAAGGCCCUUGGGUUGUAAAGCUCUUUCGUCGGGGAAGAAAAUGACUGUACCCGAAUAAGAAGGUCCGGCUAACUUCGUGCCAGCAGCCGCGGUAAUACGAAGGGACCUAGCGUAGUUCGGGAUUACUGGGCUUAAAGAGUUCGUAGGUGGUUGAAAAAGUUGGUGGUGAAAUCCCAGAGCUUAACUCUGGAACUGCCAUCAAAACUUUUCAGCUAGAGUUUGAUAGAGGAAAGCAGAAUUUCUAGUGUAGAGGUGAAAUUCGUAGAUAUUAGAAAGAAUACCAAUUGCGAAGGCAGCUUUCUGGAUCAUUACUGACACUGAGGAACGAAAGCAUGGGUAGCGAAGAGGAUUAGAUACCCUCGUAGUCCAUGCCGUAAACGAUGUGUGUUAGACGUUGGAAAUUUAUUUUCAGUGUCGCAGCGAAAGCGAUAAACACACCG